Molecule: ribosomal RNA, 251 nt
Filed under: uncultured bacterium
Lineage: Bacteria
Description: partial 16S ribosomal RNA
Rfam family: Bacterial small subunit ribosomal RNA
Source: RNAcentral
AAUGAGAGUGGCAAACGGGUGAGUAACACGUGGAUAAUCUACCUUAGAGUGGGGGAUAGCCAUUGGAAACGAUGGGUAAUACCGCAUAAUAUUAUUUCUUGGGGACAAGAUUUAAUUAAAGAUUUAUCGCUCUAAGAUGAGUCUGCGCUCUAUCAGCUAGUUGGUAAGGUAAUGGCUUACCAAGGCUACGACGGAUAGCCGACCUGAAAGGGUGAUCGGCCACAUUGGAACUGAUACACGGUCCAAACUCC